Small nuclear RNA from Dromiciops gliroides (monito del monte), 107 nucleotides. The record is from RefSeq and is a predicted model, not a curated record. Lineage: Eukaryota; Metazoa; Chordata; Mammalia; Microbiotheria; Microbiotheriidae.
GUGCUUUCUUCAGCAGCACAUAUACUAAAAUUGGAACGAUACAGAGAAGAUUGUCAUGGCCCCAGCGAAAGGAUGACAUGCAAAUUCAUGAAGCGUUCCAUAUUAAA